This 248-nucleotide ribosomal RNA is filed under the name uncultured bacterium. RNAcentral's name for it is "partial 16S ribosomal RNA". It matches the Rfam family "Bacterial small subunit ribosomal RNA", at positions 63 to 339 of the family's 1533-position model. The record is from RNAcentral.
CGAGCGAAGUCUUCGGACUUAGCGGCGGACGGGUGAGUAACGCGUGGGAACAUACCCUUUGGUACGGAAUAGCCUCGGGAAACUGGGAGUAAUACCGUAUGUGCCCUUCGGGGGAAAGAUUUAUCGCCAAAGGAUUGGCCCGCGUCCGAUUAGCUUGUUGGUGAGGUAAUGGCUCACCAAGGCGACGAUCCAUAGCUGGUUUGAGAGGAUGAUCAGCCACACUGGGACUGAGACACGGCCCAGACUCC